GACGUAGGGCGCGAGCGUUGUCCGGAUUUAUUGGGCGUAAAGAGCUCGUAGGCGGCUUGUCGCGUCGACUGUGAAAUCCCGCGGCUCAACUGCGGGUCUGCAGUCGAUACGGGCAGGCUAGAGUUCGGUAGGGGAGACUGGAAUUCCUGGUGUAGCGGUGAAAUGCGCAGAUAUCAGGAGGAACACCGGUGGCGAAGGCGGGUCUCUGGGCCGAUACUGACACUGAGGAGCGAAAGCGUGGGGAGCGAACAGG
This 253-nucleotide ribosomal RNA is filed under the name uncultured bacterium. RNAcentral's name for it is "partial 16S ribosomal RNA". It matches the Rfam family "Bacterial small subunit ribosomal RNA", at positions 524 to 776 of the family's 1533-position model. The record is from RNAcentral.